RNAcentral lists this ribosomal RNA (315 nucleotides) under uncultured eukaryote. RNAcentral describes it as "partial large subunit ribosomal RNA". It matches the Rfam family "Eukaryotic large subunit ribosomal RNA", at positions 40 to 350 of the family's 3401-position model. The record is from RNAcentral.
AUAUCAAUAAGCGGAGGAAAGGAAACCAACAGGGAUUGCCCUAGUAACGGCGAGUGAAGCGGCAACAGCUCAAAUUUGAAAUCUGGCCCCCUGUGGGGUCCGAGUUGUAAUUUGUAGAGGGUGUUUCGGGCGCGGUCCCCAGCCUAAGUUCCUUGGAACGGGACGUCAUAGAGGGUGAGAACCCCGUAUGCGGCUGGUGUGCCGUGCCAUGUGAAACCCCUUCGACGAGUCGAGUUGUUUGGGAAUGCAGCUCUAAAUGGGAGGUAUAUUUCUUCUAAAGCUAAAUACUGGCCAGAGGCCGAUAGCGCACAAGUA